Molecule: RNA transcript, 1969 nt
Organism: Helianthus annuus (common sunflower)
Lineage: Eukaryota; Viridiplantae; Streptophyta; Magnoliopsida; Asterales; Asteraceae
Gene name: meiotic recombination protein SPO11-1
Exons: 18
Source: RefSeq, a predicted model, not a curated record
AACAUCUUAUUAUCUUUUAAGCUACUCUAAAAUAAGCUUAACCGAAACACCCUCUUUCUAAAUUUUAGAGUAACUUUAAAUAUAAGUAUUGAACAGCCAUAAUCGGUUCCCUCCUUUGCCACCGUCGUUGCUGCUACUGUCAUCGUUCUAGGUCACAAAAUCAGAUUGACUUCGCUGCUACAUAUACCGAUUACACCAUAUUCAGCAAGAGUAAAAUGGAGAGAAAACAUUCAAAUUCACGGUCCAACCACUUGCUACAGAAGAUAAGAGGUUUCACGCGUUCAAUUGUCGAAGAUCUCUCCCACGGUCGUGCUUUGGUGAUUUACAUCAAUCGUUUCCGCAAUUACUGCACUGAUAUUUCUGAAAACUGCUAUUGCAGCCGUGAUUCUGUUAAGGGAGUGGAGAUUCUCACACUGCAACGGGAAUGCCAUGCGCGUAGGUUGGACAUUUUAUUGCGAGUACUACUUAUAGUUCAACAACUUUUACAAGAGAAUAGGCACGGGUCAAAGAGAGACAUUUAUUACAUGCAUCCUUCAGUGUUUCAAGAACAAUCGGUUGUAGACCGCGCCAUCAAUGACAUCUGCAUACUUCUUCAGUGCAGUCGUCACAACCUAAAUGUUGUGUCUGUCUCAAAAGGAUUAGUGAUGGGAUGGUUGAGAUUCUCAGAAGCUGACACGAUAUUCAACUGCAUAAACCACCCUGAUACCGCGCACUCUAUUCCAGUAUUUGUAGAAGAAGUGAAAGAUAUUAUCAGUGUUGCAGACUACAUACUAGUUGUGGAGAAGGAAUCAGUAUUUCAACGACUAGCAAAUGAUUGUUAUUGCAAGAAUAAUCGUUGCAUUGUCAUCACAGGCAGAGGUUAUCCAGAUAUUCCAACAAGGCGAUUCUUACGGUUACUAAUCGAACGACUGCACUUGCCAACCUACUGUUUGGUUGACUGUGAUCCAUAUGGCUUUGACAUUUUGACCACAUACCGAUUCGGCUCAAUGCAAAUGGCAUAUGAUGCAAAAAUAAUGAAGCUUCCGGAGAUAAAAUGGCUUGGAGUAUUACCUUCAGAUGCUGAAACAUUUAACGUUCCACAACAGUGUCUCCUUCCUAUGACAACCGAAGAUAAGAUCAAAACGGAGGCGAUUUUAAAUCGAUGCUAUUUACAGAGAGAAGUACCACAGUGGAGGUUGGAACUACAGUUACUGCUGCAAAGUGGAGUGAAGUUUGAGACUGAAGCAUUGUCGGUGCACUCGCUUGACUUUUUGUCUAAACAAUAUCUACCGUCUAAGAUUCAAGGUGAAAUACAACUCCAUAGGAAUGCUCCUUGAGAGUCCACUCCAAUUGCGGGUGCUGUGUGAUGAAGACGUAUGACAUCUUGCGUUCGAUCUGCGGAGUUUAUUCGGUCGAAUUGGACGCUGAGAAAAACUUGUUUAAAAUAUCCGGAGAAGUUAAUCCAAACAUACUAUUAAAGGCGGUAUUGAGUACAGGCGAGCAUGCUGAGCUUGUUACGGUUAAAAUGAAGCACCCACAACUAAGACAAAGAACCUACAAUUAUGGUUCAUACGGUCCAACAAACGGUUAUCAUCUGCCUUAUUAUAGAGAUGCCGGUUAUAGCAAUAGGUCACUGGCUAACUAUCCUUAUUAUGAAACUAAUGGUCAUAAUUACUACCCUUAUAGCCUGCCACGUGACCCGCCCCUAAUUGACUACCCGUCUUCUUACAAUAACUAUUACACCACCACCAGUGACUACCAAUAUCCACCGCCACGGGCCACCUAUGUGCCGUCAUACCCACCGCAAGAAUAUGACCAGUAUGAUAAUUUUGAUAGCAUCAGCCCUUGCACUAUCGUGUGACAUGUUUGUUUUCGGUUUAAUGAAACUUCAACAUGAGUUGGUUUCUUGUUUUGUUUGUAGUUUGGUUUUUGGGGGUUUCUAAAACUUGAGUUGAUUAUAAAUGGAUUGAUGAUGACGUUCGUUGAUUUU